GUGAGAUCAGUUUCCCAAACAUUCCAAUCUUAAGACUCGCAUGGGGUAAUUAUGAAGACUGCUCCUUCAGAACCACUGUACCAGAAUCUUCAGGCAGCCCUAGAAAUCUGAAACCAGGUCUAACCAUGAGAAUUUCACACUGCUAUCCUCAAGACUACUCCUACAUGGCCAACUCUGAAGAAAUCCUGGAGCCUGCGAAUGUGACUGUCUACCUUCCAGACUGGUCACUACGAAGUAUCUGGGGAUAAAGACAAAGGUCUGAGAACAGAAGGCCAGGGAAAUAGGGAGCAGCUGCCGCCUGAUCUUAUGAAUGCCCUCGGCUCGUUCCCCAUCUUCCUCCUUAUUGUUUCAAGCUCCUUUUCUCAACAACCUCUAAGCCCCAGCUCGUGGGAAGAAAUAACAAAGAAAAGCAGCCUUCACUGUGUCAACACCCACUGUGGCUGAAGCAUCUACAUCACUUCUCUGAGGUGAUGCAAUUAGAACUUAAAAUAGUUUUCAAUCAGCAGUGUCUGAGUUCUGCUCUCUCCCUACCUCCUGCAGGUUUCGUGGGAAGAAGCAGCCUCCAUUGGUUUUCUGGAGCAUGAGCGAGGCCACCGUCUUCAGUGUUUUCCAGCUACCAGGAACUAUUUGUGAUUUCUCCAACAGGUCUCUUUGAACUCCUUUUACUAGGCUUGGGGCUAGAGAGUAGCAGCUAGCUCUCUUCCAAUGGAGAGUAGAGCCAGGCAACAGCUCUCAUCACCAUCUCUUCAUGUU
This is a long non-coding RNA of Symphalangus syndactylus (siamang), 753 nucleotides long. RefSeq lists it as uncharacterized. The record is from RefSeq and is a predicted model, not a curated record. NCBI's taxonomy places the organism in Eukaryota, Metazoa, Chordata, Mammalia, Primates, Hylobatidae.